UCGUCAAGACCCUCAACAGUCAUCUUCGCAAUGAAAGCGGAGGUUUCAGCCUCGUUCAAAGGAGAAAAGCUGGAAUCGGGGGUAGACAUGGUUUGGGAAUCGUCGAUUCAAAGAAAGAUGACUUAGGAAUCGGCGAUUGGAAAAUCUAGGGUUUUAGGCGAUUAAGAAGGGGAAAAGGUGUUGUGAGAUUUGGGGAAAA
RNAcentral lists this long non-coding RNA (199 nucleotides) under Zostera marina. Its description in RNAcentral is "long non-coding RNA (ZMAR_LNC002245)". Lineage: Eukaryota; Viridiplantae; Streptophyta; Magnoliopsida; Alismatales; Zosteraceae. The record is from RNAcentral.